RNAcentral lists this long non-coding RNA (517 nucleotides) under Durio zibethinus. Its description in RNAcentral is "long non-coding RNA (DZIB_LNC001632)". The record is from RNAcentral. Lineage: Eukaryota; Viridiplantae; Streptophyta; Magnoliopsida; Malvales; Malvaceae.
AUUUUACCUUAAAUUUAUUAUUAGCCGUCAAACAUAAUUGAUAUUUAUUUGAAUAUUGCUCAUUUGCAACAUCAUUAUCAUUUGUUUUGCCAUUGGUUGAAUAAGAUGUUUUUUCAAAUGAAUCAUCCUUUUUUGCUUCUCAAUGGAAUUUCUCUAGCUUUUUAAGAAUCUCUUUCACUGUUAAGUAAUUAAAAACUCUAUUGAAUGCAGUGAUACCCAAAGCACAAAGAAGAACAUUCAUAGUUUUGAAAUUGGUCUGCAUUUUUCUUGUUUCUGCAUCAAUCCACUUUCACCUCUCAUCCUUGAGGUCUUUCCAAAAGACCACCCUCAAAACAAAAGGGGUUUGCCUGCGGUUCGCUUUACAGAAUGAACCUGAUUAUAUUAUUGUCUAGGAUCUCGACCUACACUAGAAGACUAUUUAGUAGUAACGGCUAUUGCACUUGAAUUUUCUUUUUAAAAAAAUUUUCUCAUCAAUUGUAGAAGAAAUCUUUGUAGGCAUGUAAAAACCAUCCAUAAU